Molecule: unclassified non-coding RNA, 235 nt
Filed under: uncultured fungus
Lineage: Eukaryota; Fungi
Description: partial contains 5.8S ribosomal RNA, internal transcribed spacer 2, and large subunit ribosomal RNA
Source: RNAcentral
AACGCACAUUGCGCCCGCCGGCAUUCCGGCGGGCACGCCUGUUCGAGCGUCAUUUCAACCCUCGCGCCCCGCGCGGUGAUGGGGAUCCGCGGCACCGCGGGCCCUGAAAAGCAGUGGCGGCACCGCCUGGAACGCAGCGUAGUAAAACACCUCGCUAGCGGCUCUAGGUGUUGCCCGCCGUUAACACUCCCUUAGAGUUGACCUCGGAUCAGGUGGGAAUACCCGCUGAACUUAA